UACGGAGGGUGCAAGCGUUAUCCGGAUUCACUGGGUUUAAAGGGUGCGUAGGUGGGCUAGUAAGUCCGUGGUGAAAUCUCCAAGCUUAACUUGGAAACUGCCGUGGAUACUAUUAGUCUUGAAUAUUGUGGAGGUAAGCGGAAUAUGUCAUGUAGCGGUGAAAUGCUUAGAUAUGACAUAGAACACCGAUAGCGAAGGCAGCUCGCUGGGGGUCUUCUGACGCUGAGACACGAAAGCCAGGGGAGCGAACGGG
Molecule: ribosomal RNA, 253 nt
Filed under: uncultured bacterium
Lineage: Bacteria
Description: partial 16S ribosomal RNA
Rfam family: Bacterial small subunit ribosomal RNA
Source: RNAcentral